RNAcentral lists this small RNA (459 nucleotides) under Pongo abelii (Sumatran orangutan). RNAcentral's name for it is "retained intron". Lineage: Eukaryota; Metazoa; Chordata; Mammalia; Primates; Hominidae. The record is from RNAcentral.
AGAAGCCAGAGGGGACGUGGGGAGUGCCACCCUGGAGCCUACGGGCACACCUGCUGAGAUGGAGGCCUCAGAUGGGCAAGGGGGUGAAGGGGACAAGCCACUAGAGAAGGUGACAAAUGUGUCAUGCCUGGAGACAAGCUCCAGCGCCAGCCCUGCCAGAGACUCGCUCAUGCGCCAUGCCAAGGGCCUGGAUCAGGACACCUUCAAAAUUUGUAAAGAAUACCUAAGACCGCUGAAGAAGUUCCUGCGAAAGUUGCACCUUCCCAGGGACCUUCCCCAGAAGAAGAAGCUGAAGUACAUGAAGCAGAGCCUUGUGGUCCUAGGGGACCACAUCAACACCUUUCUGCAGCAUUACUGCCGAGCCUGGGAAAUCAAACACUGGAGAAAGUAGGGCAGUCUCUUUGCUCUGCUCCCCAUACCUACUCCUGGGCAACCCCCUCUUCAUUCAAGGGGACACCU